RNAcentral lists this ribosomal RNA (253 nucleotides) under uncultured bacterium. Its description in RNAcentral is "partial 16S ribosomal RNA". It matches the Rfam family "Bacterial small subunit ribosomal RNA", at positions 524 to 776 of the family's 1533-position model. The record is from RNAcentral.
UACGGGGGGGGCAAGCGUUGUUCGGAAUUACUGGGCGUAAAGGGCUCGUAGGCGGCCAACUAAGUCAGACGUGAAAUCCCUCGGCUUAACCGGGGAACUGCGUCUGAUACUGGAUGGCUUGAGGUUGGGAGAGGGAUGCGGAAUUCCAGGUGUAGCGGUGAAAUGCGCAGAUAUCAGGAGGAACACCGGUGGCGAAGGCGGAUCUCUGGGCCUUGCCUGACGCUGAGGCGCGAAAGCUAGGGGAGCGAACAGG